GCUGGGCUCUGUGGCACGUGCCUGUAGUCCCAGCUACUAAGGAGGCUGAAGCAGGAGGAUCACUUGAGUCCAGGAGUAGUUCUGGGCUAUAGAGUGCUAUGCUGAUCAGGUGUCUGCACUAAGUUUGGCAUCAGUAUGGUGACUUCCAGGGAGCGGAGGACCACAACGUUGGCUAAGGAGGGAUGAAUCCGCUCAGGUCAGAAAUGGAGCAGGUCAAAACUCCCGUGAUAAUCAUUAGUAAGAUUGCACCUGUGCGUAGCCACUGCACUCCAGCCUGGGCAACAUAGUGAGAUGCCAUCUCUU
Unclassified non-coding RNA from Callithrix jacchus (white-tufted-ear marmoset), 303 nucleotides. It matches the Rfam family "Metazoan signal recognition particle RNA". Rfam says of the family: The signal recognition particle (SRP) is a universally conserved ribonucleoprotein. The record is from Ensembl. Lineage: Eukaryota; Metazoa; Chordata; Mammalia; Primates; Cebidae.